Molecule: ribosomal RNA, 446 nt
Filed under: uncultured bacterium
Lineage: Bacteria
Description: partial 16S ribosomal RNA
Rfam family: Bacterial small subunit ribosomal RNA
Source: RNAcentral
CCUACGGGUGGCAGCAGUCGAGAAUCAUUCACAAUGGGGGAAACCCUGAUGCUGCGACGCCGCGUGGGGGAAUGAAGGUCUUCGGAUUGUAAACCCCUGUAAUGUGGGAGCAAAUUAUAAAGAUAGUACCACAAGAGAAAGAGACGGCUAACUCUGUGACAGCAGCCGCGGUAAUACCGAGGUCGCAAGCGUUGUUCGGAAUCACUGGGCGUAAGGCGUGCGUAGGCUGUUUGGUAAGUCGGGUGUGAAAGGCGCGGGCUCAACCCGCGGACGGCACAUGAUACUGCGAGACUAGAGUAAUGGAGGGGGAACUGGAAUUCUCGGUGUAGCAGUGAAAUGCGUAGAUAUCGAGAGGAACACUCGUGGCGAAGGCGGGUUCCUGGACAUUAACUGACGCUGAGGCACGAAGGCCAGGGGAGCGAAAGGGAUUAGAUACCCUGGUAGUC